GACGAACGCUGGCGGCGUGCCUAACACAUGCAGGUCGAGGGCUUUAGUAGCAAUACAAAGAGCACUGGCGCACGGGUGAGUAACGCGUAGAUCAUCUGCCCCUAACACUGACAUAACAGUUCUAACGGACUGCUAAUAUCAGAUGUGAUGAGCAAUCAUUAAAGGGAAACCGGUUAGGGAUGAGUCUGCGUCUGAUUAGGUAGUUGGUGAGGUAACGGCUCACCAAGCCUACGAUCAGUAACUGGUCUGAGAGGACGAACAGUCACACUGGAACUGAGACACGGUCCAGACUCCUACGGGAGGCAGCAGUGAGGAAUAUUGCACAAUGGGAGAAAUCCUGAUGCAGCGACGCCGCGUGUGGGAAGAAGGAGCUUAGCUUCGUAAACCACUGUCGGAGGGGACGAAUGAUAGGUUAGACCUAUUGAGACGGUACCCUCAAAGGAAGGAUCGGCUAACUACGUGCCAGCAGCCGCGGUAAAGU
RNAcentral lists this ribosomal RNA (481 nucleotides) under uncultured bacterium. Its description in RNAcentral is "bacterial SSU rRNA". It matches the Rfam family "Bacterial small subunit ribosomal RNA", at positions 28 to 526 of the family's 1533-position model. The record is from RNAcentral.